GGGCCUAUAGCCUAGCCUGGAUUGGGCGUCGGACUUCUAAUCCGAAAGUCGCAGGUUCGAAUCCUGCUAGGCCCG
Molecule: transfer RNA, 75 nt
Filed under: Promethearchaeota archaeon
Lineage: Archaea; Promethearchaeati; Promethearchaeota
Also listed under: 6 other names
Description: Candidatus Lokiarchaeota archaeon (marine sediment metagenome) tRNA-Arg
Rfam family: tRNA
About the family: Transfer RNA (tRNA) molecules are approximately 80 nucleotides in length. Their secondary structure includes four short double-helical elements and three loops (D, anti-codon, and T loops).
Source: RNAcentral